RNAcentral lists this ribosomal RNA (383 nucleotides) under uncultured eukaryote. RNAcentral's name for it is "partial 18S ribosomal RNA". It matches the Rfam family "Eukaryotic small subunit ribosomal RNA", at positions 592 to 976 of the family's 1831-position model. The record is from RNAcentral.
CAAUAGCGUAUAUUAAAGUUGUUGCAGUUAAAAAGCUCGUAGUUGGAUUUCUGGUGGGAGCGAUCGGUCUGGCGCUUAGCGCGAGUACUUGCAUCGUCUCCGGCCAUCCUUGGGGAGAGUCUGUCUGGCAUUAGGUUGUCGGGCAGAGGAUCCUCAUCGUUUACUGUGAAAAAAUUAGAGUGUUCAAAGCAGGCUUAUGCCGUUGAAUAUAUCAGCAUGGAAUAAUAAGAUAGGACUUUGGUACUAUUUUGUUGGUUUGCGCACCAAAGUAACGAUUAAUAGGGACAGUUGGGGGUAUUCGUAUUCCGUUGUCAGAGGUGAAAUUCUUGGAUUUACGGAAGACGAACUACUGCGAAAGCAUUUACCAAGGAUGUUUUCAUUAA